CUUGGUCAUUUAGAGGAAGUAAAAGUCGUAACAAGGUUUCCGUAGGUGAACCUGCGGAAGGAUCAUUAAAGAAUCGCCCCGUUUUUUAUAGAUGGGUUCUAUUCCCAAACCGUGUAUACAUACCUUUGUUGCUUUGGCAGGCCGCCUCCGGGCGUCGGCUUCGGCUGAUUAGUGCCUGCCAGAGGACCCAAACUCGUUUGUUUAGUGAUGUCUGAGUACUAUAUAAUAGUUAAAACUUUCAACAACGGAUCUCUUGGUUCUGGCAUCGAUGAAGAACGCAGCGAAAUGCGAUAAGUAAUGUGAAUUGCAGAAUUCAGUGAAUCAUCGAAUCUUUGAACGCACAUUGCGCCCCUUGGUAUUCCGAGGGGCAUGCCUGUUCGAGCGUCAUUAUAACCACUCAAGCUCACGCUUGGUAUUGGGGUUCGCGUGCUCGCGGCCCUUAAAAUCAGUGGCGGUGCCGUCUGGCUCUAAGCGUAGUAAUUUAUCUCGCUAUUGGGUCCGGCGGUUGCUUGCCAACAACCCCCAACUUCUAAGGUUGACCUCGGAUCAGGUAGGGAUACCCGCUGAACUUAAGCAUAUCAAUAAGCGGAGGA
RNAcentral lists this ribosomal RNA (593 nucleotides) under uncultured Helotiales. Its description in RNAcentral is "eukaryotic LSU rRNA". The stretch from base 234 to 387 matches the Rfam family "5.8S ribosomal RNA". Lineage: Eukaryota; Fungi; Ascomycota; Leotiomycetes; Helotiales. The record is from RNAcentral.